This 76-nucleotide transfer RNA is filed under the name Staphylococcus aureus. Its description in RNAcentral is "tRNA-Asp". It matches the Rfam family "tRNA". Rfam says of the family: Transfer RNA (tRNA) molecules are approximately 80 nucleotides in length. The record is from RNAcentral. Lineage: Bacteria; Bacillati; Bacillota; Bacilli; Caryophanales; Staphylococcaceae.
GGUCUCGUAGUGUAGCGGUUAACACGCCUGCCUGUCACGCAGGAGAUCACGGGUUCGAUUCCCGUCGAGACCGCCA